RNAcentral lists this ribosomal RNA (467 nucleotides) under uncultured bacterium. Its description in RNAcentral is "bacterial SSU rRNA". It matches the Rfam family "Bacterial small subunit ribosomal RNA", at positions 959 to 1426 of the family's 1533-position model. The record is from RNAcentral.
ACGCGAAAAACCUUACCUACCCUUGACAUGCUAGGAAGCACGCAAAGAUGUGGGUGUGCCCGAAAGGGAACCUAGACACAGGUGCUGCAUGGCUGUCGUCAGCUCGUGUCGUGAGAUGUUGGGUUAAGUCCCGCAACGAGCGCAACCCUUGCCAUUAGUUGCUACAUUCAGUUGGGCACUCUAAUGGGACCGCCGGUGACAAACCGGAGGAAGGUGGGGAUGACGUCAAGUCCUCAUGGCCCUUAUGGGUAGGGCUUCACACGUAAUACAAUGGUCGGUACAGAGGGCUGCCAACCCGCAAGGGGGAGCUAAUCCCAGAAAGCCGAUCGUAGUCCGGAUUGUAGUCUGCAACUCGACUGCAUGAAGCCGGAAUCGCUAGUAAUCGCGGAUCAGCAUGUCGCGGUGAAUACGUUCCCGGGUCUUGUACACACCGCCCGUCACACCAUGGGAGUGGGUUCCACCAGAAG